CGGCGUGCCUAACACAUGCAAGUCGUACGAGAAAGCCGGCUUCGGCUGGUGAGUAAAGUGGCGCACGGGUGAGUAACGCGUGGAUAAUCUGCCCUUAAGUGUGGAAUAACGUACCGAAAGGUGCGCUAAUACCGCAUAAUGCCUUGGCAACACAAGUUGUCCGGCCAAAGAAGGCCUCUGUUUACAAGCUUUCGCUUCAGGAUGAGUCCGCGUACCAUUAGCUUGUUGGUGGGGUAAUGGCCUACCAAGGCUGCGAUGGUUAGCUGGUCUGAGAGGAUGAUCAGCCACACUGGAACUGAGACACGGUCCAGACUCCUACGGGAGGCAGCAGUGAGGAAUAUUGCGCAAUGGGGGCAACCCUGACGCAGCAACGCCGCGUGAGUGAGGAAGGUUUUCGGACUGUAAAGCUCUGUCGAGCGGGAAGAAGUGUACCAUGGCUAAUAUCCAUGAUAUUUGACGGUACCGCUAGAGGAAGCACCGGCUAACUCCGUG
This 492-nucleotide ribosomal RNA is filed under the name uncultured bacterium. Its description in RNAcentral is "bacterial SSU rRNA". It matches the Rfam family "Bacterial small subunit ribosomal RNA", at positions 40 to 507 of the family's 1533-position model. The record is from RNAcentral.